AGCUUCUACAAUCCGUGUAGAGAUUUCGUCAGACACCAUCCCAUUAGGGUUGGUCAGACUUCCAAGAUAGGUGGAGUU
RNAcentral lists this microRNA precursor (78 nucleotides) under Schistosoma margrebowiei. RNAcentral describes it as "mir-3492 microRNA precursor family". It matches the Rfam family "mir-3492 microRNA precursor family". Lineage: Eukaryota; Metazoa; Platyhelminthes; Trematoda; Strigeidida; Schistosomatidae. The record is from Rfam by way of RNAcentral.